AGAUACCAGGGUCAAAAGGUCAUGCGUUUCAUGCUUGCAUGAAAAAGCAUGACUUUGGGACCCGCAAAACAUGAGAAAGUAGCCCAAGUAGGGCGGAUUUCGAAUGCUUUUAGGAUUGCGGGAACACAAAGUGCGGAGCAAUCCGUAGGUAUCA
Molecule: small RNA, 154 nt
Filed under: Muricomes intestini
Lineage: Bacteria; Bacillati; Bacillota; Clostridia; Lachnospirales; Lachnospiraceae
Description: Clostridiales-1 RNA
Rfam family: Clostridiales-1 RNA
Source: RNAcentral